UUGCAGAGUACCGUCCAUGAUUUGACAGUCCACCGUGCAACUCCUGAGGAUAUUCUGCGUCGCCAUGAAAUGCACAAAUCAAAAAACAAAGCACUGGCACAUCUGGAACUGCAAGAGAAAGCACUGAAAAAAAAAUGGAAGAAGCAAAAACAACUGGCUGCUGAUUCCUUGGAGAAAAGGAAAUUGACUCUGAUGCGUGAGGUUUCCCUAAUGUAACAAUGGCUCCUAACUGUGACAUAGAAUCAUCUCAAGGACCCGUUGUACAAAAAUGUGACCCUCCCACUCAGCUUUCUAUCCUUAGUGAAUCUGUCAUGGAUUCCCAGGUAAUG
Pterocles gutturalis (yellow-throated sandgrouse) is the source of this 329-nucleotide long non-coding RNA. RefSeq lists it as uncharacterized. NCBI's taxonomy places the organism in Eukaryota, Metazoa, Chordata, Aves, Pterocliformes, Pteroclidae. The record is from RefSeq and is a predicted model, not a curated record. The transcript is spliced from 3 exons.